GAUGAACGCUGGCGAGAUGCCUUACACAUGCAAGUCGUACGAGAAUUUUUAAUUCAAGUGGCGGACGGGUGAGUAACACGUAAGAAUUUGCCUUUAGGAGGGGGAUAAUAACUGGAAACGGUUACUAAUACCCCAUAUGCUUUCGAGUGAAAUGGAGUUUUCCGCCUAGAGAGAAGCUUGCGGCUGAUUAGCUUGUUGGUGGGGUAAUGGCCUACCAAGGCGACGAUCAGUAUCUGGUUUGAGAGGAUGAUCAGACACACUGGAACUGAGACACGGUCCAGACUCCUACGGGAGGCAGCAGUGGGGAAUUUUCCGCAAUGGGCGCAAGCCUGACGGAGCAAUCUCGCGUGAGGGAUGACGGCCUAUGGGUUGUAAACCUCUUUUUUCAGGGAGGAAUAAAAUGACGUGUACCUGAAGAAUAAGCAUCGGCUAACUCCGUGCCAGCAGCCGCGGUAAGACGGAGGAUGCAAGUGUUAUCCGGAAUCACUGGGCGUAAAGCGUCUGUAGGUGGUUUAGUAAGUCAACUGUUAAAUCUUGAAGCUCAACUUCA
RNAcentral lists this ribosomal RNA (550 nucleotides) under uncultured phototrophic eukaryote. Its description in RNAcentral is "bacterial SSU rRNA". It matches the Rfam family "Bacterial small subunit ribosomal RNA", at positions 28 to 617 of the family's 1533-position model. The record is from RNAcentral.